CCAAGUGGAUCCAAUGUCAUCACAAGGGUCAUUGAAUAUGGACAAAGGAGGCAGAGGAGUCAGUGUCACAGUGAUGUGACAUGAGAGUUGACCAGCCCUUGCUUGCUUUGAAGGUGGAAAGGGACCACAGCCAAGGAAUGCAAGCAACCUCUAGAAGCUGGAAAAGGAGCAUUAAUACAUGUGAGAGAGUGCAUCAUCCUGGUCAGACAACUGUUCAUCUCUUUUGCACUGAAAUGGUAGGCUUUAACACACGAAGGAAAGUUCAACAUGUCAAGUCAAGAAAUUUGAAAUGAAUUCAGUAGCCACUCAGUAGUCACUGAGUAUUUUUGAGCAGAAAAGAGAUCUCCUAAGAAUGAAAUUAUGAAAAAUUACUCCAGGAGUAGUGUAUAGAAUGGAUGGGAGAAGGAGGAUAAACAAUAGAGAAACACUUAGAGAUUUAUUGCUAUAGUAUAGGCAGACGAUUAUAAGUAUCUGAAACUAGGGCAUGGUGAUGACAACAAAAAGGGAG
This 508-nucleotide long non-coding RNA is filed under the name Equus caballus (horse). Its description in RNAcentral is "lncRNA (ENSECAG00000041203.2)". The record is from RNAcentral. Lineage: Eukaryota; Metazoa; Chordata; Mammalia; Perissodactyla; Equidae.